This is a small nucleolar RNA of Gastrolobium bilobum, 87 nucleotides long. RefSeq annotates it as small nucleolar RNA R44/J54/Z268 family. The record is from RefSeq and is a predicted model, not a curated record. The transcript has a single exon. Lineage: Eukaryota; Viridiplantae; Streptophyta; Magnoliopsida; Fabales; Fabaceae.
UAUGCAAAUGACGACAACUUAGACAGGGACAUCUGUACUACUAUGUAGAAAAUGAUGAUUUGUCUUUGGGAUUAUCUCUGAUGCAUU